UUGCACGCUGGCGGCAGGCCUAACACAUGCAAGUCGCACGGUAACAGGAAGCAGCUUGCUGCUUCGCUGACGAGUGGCGGACGGGUGAGUAAUGUCUGGGAAGCUGCCUGAUGGAGGGGGAUAACUACUGGAAACGGUAGCUAAUACCGCAUAAUGUCGCAAGACCAAAGAGGGGGACCUUCGGGCCUCUUGCCAUCGGAUGUGCCCAGAUGGGAUUAGCUUGUUGGUGGGGUAACGGCUCACCAAGGCGACGAUCCCUAGCUGGUCUGAGAGGAUGACCAGCCACACUGGGACUGAGACACGGUCCAGACUCCUACGGGAGGCAGCAGUGGGGAAUAUUGCACAAUGGGCGCAAGCCUGAUGCAGCCAUGCCGCGUGUAUGAAGAAGGCCUUCGGGUUGUAAAGUACUUUCAGCGGGGAGGAAGGGAGUAAAGUUAAUACCUUUGCUCAUUGACGUUACCCGCAGAAGAAGCACCGGCUAACUCCGUG
Molecule: ribosomal RNA, 489 nt
Filed under: uncultured bacterium
Lineage: Bacteria
Description: partial 16S ribosomal RNA
Rfam family: Bacterial small subunit ribosomal RNA
Source: RNAcentral